GGAGGAUGCAAGCAACUACGGCCAGUCAACUCAGUCCCAAGGGAGGUCAUGGAGCAAAUCCACCUGGAAGAUAUUUUGAAGCACAUGGAAGACAAGAAGGAAAAACUACCAGACAAAAUCACUGCUGAGCUGGACCACAGAGAAGAAAGUCUUUAGGGAAGCAAGAGCACAAGCAGAAUUGGAGCUAUCUGGGAACCUUUUCAUUCAGUUCACAAGAGGGAGAACUGGUUGCAUAACUGCGCUGACCUAAAAAUGCUUUUCAGAUUCUUCAAUUAAAGCACAGGAAGAAAUCAGCACUGUUAGAAAGAUUAUUCAGAUAGAGAAUUAAAUUUCAAUCACAGCAGGACAAAUGACUGGUUCGAAAAUGGAUUUGCUAACUAGGACAAAUGAUAGGAAGAGAAUUGUGAAA
This is a long non-coding RNA of Pezoporus flaviventris, 409 nucleotides long. RefSeq lists it as uncharacterized. NCBI's taxonomy places the organism in Eukaryota, Metazoa, Chordata, Aves, Psittaciformes, Psittacidae. The record is from RefSeq and is a predicted model, not a curated record. The transcript has 3 exons.